AUUGAACGCUGGCGGCAGGCCUAACACAUGCAAGUCGAACGGUAGCACAGAGAGCUUGCUCUCGGGUGACGAGUGGCGGACGGGUGAGUAAUGUCUGGGAAACUGCCCGAUGGAGGGGGAUAACUACUGGAAACGGUAGCUAAUACCGCAUAACGUCGCAAGACCAAAGUGGGGGACCUUCGGGCCUCACACCAUCGGAUGUGCCCAGAUGGGAUUAGCUAGUAGGUGGGGUAAUGGCUCACCUAGGCGACGAUCCCUAGCUGGUCUGAGAGGAUAACACGCCACACUGGAACUGAGACACGGUCCAGACUCCUACGGGAGGCAGCAGUGGGGAAUAUUGCACAAUGGGCGCAAGCCUGAUGCAGCCAUGCCGCGUGUAUGAAGAAGGCCUUCGGGUUGUAAAGUACUUUCAGCGGGGAGGAAGGCGGUGAAGUUAAUAGCUUCACCGAUUGACGUUACCCGCAGAAGAAGCACCGGCUAACUCCGUGCCAGCCGCCGCGGUAA
Molecule: ribosomal RNA, 504 nt
Filed under: uncultured bacterium
Lineage: Bacteria
Description: partial 16S ribosomal RNA
Rfam family: Bacterial small subunit ribosomal RNA
Source: RNAcentral